GACUACAGGGGUAUCUAAUCCUGUUUGAUCCCCACGCUUUCGUGUCUUAGUGUCAGUGUUGGACCAGCUAUCCGCCUUCGCAACUGGUAUUCCUCCUGAUAUCUACGUAUUUCACCACUACACCAGGAAUUCUAAUAGCCUCUUCCACACUCAAGCUUGAUAGUAUCAGAUGCACUUCUAGGGUUGAGCCCUAGGAUUUCACAUUUGACUUAAAAAGCAACCUACACCCGCUUUACGCCCAAUGAUUCCGAACAACGCUAGGAUCCCUCGUCUUACCGCGGCUGCUGGCACGAAGUUAGCCGAUCCUUUCUUAUAUGGUACAUUCAUUAUUAUUCCCAUACGACAGAGCUUUACGACCCGAAGGCCUUCAUCGCUCACGCGGCGUCGCUGCGUCAGGGUUUCCCCCAUUGCGCAAUAUUCCCUACUGCAGCCCCCCGUAGG
Molecule: ribosomal RNA, 441 nt
Filed under: uncultured Bdellovibrio sp.
Lineage: Bacteria; Pseudomonadati; Bdellovibrionota; Bdellovibrionia; Bdellovibrionales; Pseudobdellovibrionaceae
Description: partial 16S ribosomal RNA
Source: RNAcentral